UACGGGAGGCAGCAGUGGGGGAAUAUUGCACAAUGGGCGAAAGCCUGAUGCAGCUAUGCCGCGUGUAUGAAGAAGGCCUUAGGGUUGUAAAGUACUUUCAUCGGGGAGGAAAAACAAAAACUAAUAAUUUUAUUUCUUGACGUUACCCGAAAAAGAAGCACCGGCUAACUCCGUGCCAGCAGCCGCGGUAAUACGGAGGGUGCUAGCGUUAAUCAGAAUUACUGGGCGUAAAGAGCACGUAGGUGGUUUUUUUAAGUCAGAUGUGAAAUCCCUGGGCUUAACCUAGGAACUGCAUUUUGAAACUGAAAUACUAGAGUAUCGUAGAGGGAGGUAGAAUUCUAGGUGUAGCGGUGAAAUGCGUAGAUAUCUGGAGGAAUACCUGUGGCGAAAGCGGCCUCUAAACGAAUACUGACACUGAGGUGCGAAAGCGUGGGGAGCAAACAGGGAUUAGAUACC
This 456-nucleotide ribosomal RNA is filed under the name uncultured bacterium. Its description in RNAcentral is "bacterial SSU rRNA". It matches the Rfam family "Bacterial small subunit ribosomal RNA", at positions 340 to 786 of the family's 1533-position model. The record is from RNAcentral.